This is a long non-coding RNA of Alligator sinensis (Chinese alligator), 2135 nucleotides long. RefSeq lists it as uncharacterized. The record is from RefSeq and is a predicted model, not a curated record. The transcript has 3 exons. NCBI's taxonomy places the organism in Eukaryota, Metazoa, Chordata, Crocodylia, Alligatoridae.
UAGAGUGGAUAUUUGGGCUCUGGAUACAGGAGAAAAAGAAGCUUUUUAAAAGCUGCUAUGAUGCUGUCACUGUCUGCAAUGGAGAAGGAGUAAGAAGGAUCUUGUGUUCUGCUCCUGCAAACAAAUGCAACUUUUGCAGAACCCUCCACCUAUGUGAAUUUCCCUCUCUGUAUUUUUGGUGUGGGAUAUGUUGAAAGAAUGCAGGGAUCACAAAGCCAGCCCCUGCAGGAGUUAGAUGUCAGACACAAGACCAUCCUAGUGAAUAAGAAAAGAAUCCUGUGUCAUAAAGCAUACACACAAGACUUACACAUCAGUUCAGGUAUCGGAGAAGCUGAAAAAACAUCUUCAGAAGUGAAGUAUGCAGCAAAUGACUGCCCUGUAUGUCCUACCUGGCUUUCACUACAGUAACAACUUUGGACAGGAGCUGAUGCAGAACUGCCCUUCUCUCUCCACCUCACAGUUGAUGAAUUACCAGAACUAAUUGUUGCCUUGACAGGCCUUUGAUCUCUGGAAGAGCCAGUUUAUAAAUGAUGAGUUCCGUUACAUGCUACUAUUGAUAGAGCUGUUUGAAUGAGUUUUAAAAUCAAUAAGCUCUACACAACAGGGAGCCCUUAGUUUAUUUCCAUUUAUUGCAGGCGUUGUGAACUAUCCUUGAAAGUGCUUAUUGAAGGGUGUAAGUCAGGUAGUAAUACAGAAAUCAAGUUUGAUAAGAGAAGAGAGAGCUGAAAGAGUAAUACAAAAUAGGAAGCUUUGUGCUUUCAUUGGCUCUCCUCCCCAUCCCUCCAAACCAGGCCCUAAACUGAACUAAAGUUAUGGAUGCUGUCUCCAGAGAGAAAGUGUGGUUCAGUAUUUAAAAUGGAGAAUGGGAAGAGAAAGUUGGCUAGGUUCUGUGGACAGCUCUGCUACUGACCUGCCAAUGUGGCCUGGGGCAGCUCAGCCCCUUGAUGCGUGCAGAUGGUUUAUCUGCCUAUAGGAAUAACAACAACCAAAUUUGCAGCACAUCCUUUAUCUAAGUACGCAGAAGUGCUCCACAAACAUGAAUGGCCACUUUGUCUGUGGGACAAAUGGGUGGAAUUCCAUUGGUGUGAAUAGGGCUGAACAGUAUGGAAAACUUAGUCCUAGCCUCUUCUUUCCGGAAUGUGAAAUCCUGGGGAAGCUUUCAAGGGGAAGGGAAGAAAUUUUCCUUCUAGGCCAGAGGUGGCCACCCUGUAGCGCAAGUGGUACAAGUGGCGCACGGAGCCUCUCUGCAUGGUCCAUGACCUGAUCAUGGAGGGGACAGGAAGCAGAAGGCAGAGCAGGAGAUCAAUAGAGGAGCGCGAUUGGAGUGGCACUUGGAGCCGAUGUAAGGCUAAUUUGUGACUCACCUGGGGAAAAAGGUUGGCCCCAACUGCUCUAGGCCAUAAAGCAGUGUCAGUGUCAUUCUGCAGCCACAGUUGUACUUCUUAGACAGCUGUAUUUAUGAUGGCCAUAAUACACUGUCUACUGGAAGGAGGACAAGAAGACCUCCUAGUGCUGUCUACACUAACUGUCCAUAAGAAUUGACAGUCGGGCAGCAGGUUGCUAAUUCUACUGUAACAUGCUCCUUUAUGGAUGUUUCCAGGUAAUGAUGAUUAGGGUUAGGUGUCUGUCUUGGAGUAAUAGAUACCUAUUGCUCCCGCUACCCCUUGUUUGAAAAUAUACCUAUACCCUCUAACUAAAAUAUGAUACUUCAAAAAUAAAGGAUCAGUUGUUCAGGGUGGUAAAAACCAGCAACAGAAGCAGAAGUUUUAGAUAGAUUCUGGUAAUGUGGAAGAGAGAGUCAGCAUGUCUGAAUGAGGAGGAAACUUAGCAUGCCCAAGAAGAGGAAAAAUAAUUUGAAUUCCACGGAAAACUCCUUGCUUAAAUUCCUUGUAUUCCUGAAACACCUCUCACUCCCUGGAUAAAAUUUCCCAUUGAUAAGACUCCUCCCCUUUCUCUCUCCCCCUGUUCCCAGUAACAGCUGGCAAAUGAGCUGGUAUAGAACUUUAUUAUGACCCAGAAAGCACAAGACCAAGCCAGCUGAGACUCUUUGCCUUGGGCACUGAGAAGCAAAAGGGCAUUUUAGCAAAUUAGUGAAAUGACACACAUUUUGGGUUGACAAGUUCUAGACCUGAUCC